RNAcentral lists this long non-coding RNA (429 nucleotides) under Vigna radiata. RNAcentral describes it as "long non-coding RNA (VRAD_LNC001861)". The record is from RNAcentral. Lineage: Eukaryota; Viridiplantae; Streptophyta; Magnoliopsida; Fabales; Fabaceae.
CUUACACACAAUCCUAACUAAAAAUUCUAAGAGAUAUGCAGAAGAAUUGGAUCAAUUAGCUCAAUUUCUGUUACUUAUAGGGUCAAACUCAGAUCUGCAAUGUAUAAAGUGUUUUUGGCUGGUUUGAGACUUCUAGCAAGUCAGAAUUUACUCACCUAAGUGAUCCAAAUGGUCUAAAACCACCUCUAACCCUUGACUCACGAAUUCACUACCCAAGUUCCCCAAUUUGACUCAACAUCAAGAAUUAACUUAGUCUUUUACUCACAAUUUGCAGAGAAUGAAAUCCUCAUCUUUAAAACAAUAAACAUUAACAUCACAUACAUGGUCAUACAAUUUGUAAUUGAUCACUUAGCAGUUCUUAUCAAACACAAGCUAUACACAUCAAUUUUCAGCACAAGUUCUUUUUAUCUAUUUCAAAAUAAAGGAAUC